Molecule: long non-coding RNA, 674 nt
Filed under: Mytilus galloprovincialis (Mediterranean mussel)
Lineage: Eukaryota; Metazoa; Mollusca; Bivalvia; Mytilida; Mytilidae
Source: RNAcentral
GUAAAAUUAAAUAAUUCAAGAAUUCAAAAUUGAAGCUUAAGCUGGAAGAGUUUUAUUUAAGGAUCAAAAUAAGCUAAACAUAUUGAUAGGUCAGUGAGCUCCUUUUCCAGAUACUUGAUUUUUAAAAUAUGGCGGGAAAAGGCUGACUCAGACUUUUAUCUUAUAUAUGCAUUGGUAUUAUUUGGGUCUCAAAUCAACAGAAAGAAAAUCAAGAAUCUGCUUAAAUUUUGUUAAACGACCUUUUAUGAGUGAUUACUUCUUACGUAAACAAAAUAAAUAGGUGUUAUGCGGCAAAAUAUUUUACCUUGUGUCGUUUAGAGAAAAACACUGAGAAGUCCUAACAUUUGACACUUAUUCCAAAACCUCACCUUUACAUCCUUAAGGUAGCAAAGGAGCAAUUAAAUAGCAAAUAGCAAAACAAACGACAGAAGUCCACCAUGAUACACAGAAAAUUUGAGACUAAACAACGUAAACCCACCAAAUGACCAGAAUAAGGUUAUUUACUUCAAAAGGGUAAACAGUUAUUGAUGUUUAAUUGACUAUCGUUAUAAUUGCUCCUUUCAUUAUACAAUGCAAGGCAUAUUUAACAAUUUGAUCACAGUAAGUGUAUGUCUAAAUGUUGAUGUUCUUUUGAACAUUUUAUCCUGGUCUUUUUACAAUAAGUAUCCAUCAGC